RNAcentral lists this long non-coding RNA (960 nucleotides) under Mytilus galloprovincialis (Mediterranean mussel). The record is from RNAcentral. Lineage: Eukaryota; Metazoa; Mollusca; Bivalvia; Mytilida; Mytilidae.
GUUGUUCAAAAUAUAAUCAAUUUUCCCUAUACAGUUCUUUUUUUUUUUAUAAGGUAAAUGUUUAGUAUUUUUAUUUAUUACAAUAAAGACCGUAAGAAUAGUUUUAGAAAGUAAUCUUAGAAAGCAAUGGGGCAAAGUAAUCUUAUUUAGGUUUGAGGGAGGGGAAUUUAAAAAAAAGAUAUAUUUGUGUUACAUGGCGAAAAAAAUAUUGUUUUGACGAAAGAGGUGGCGAAAAAAAUAAUUGACCCAGGGGAAACCCUGCAUGAUACAAGUAUACGAUAUAUCAUGAUUCAAACGACUGCCGUUGGUAUUUAUUCAAGUCCUUUCAAAUUGGUAAAUUAUACAAUUUGAAUAAUAUACUCAAAAACAAAUGCAAUCCCUCAAUUAGUUUCUUUUUUCUGUAUACUCCAUCCAGACAUUGUCUUAUCGGGGCCUUUUAUGACUGACUAUGCGGUAUGGGCUUUGCUCACUAUUGAAGGCCGUACGGUGACCUAUAGUUGUUAAUGUCUGUGUCAUUUUGGUCUCUUGUGGACAGUUGUCUCAUUGGCAAUCAUACCACAUGUUCUUUUUUAUAUUACAUAUUUGCCACUGAACGUUAAACAAGCAACAAUAAAUCAAUCACUGUAAACUGUGCAUUGAUUUGAAGGUUAUAUUUCAAAUUAUGUUAUACAUUUCUACAGAUGUAUAGCAAAUAAUUUUGAUACUAACAUACAUGGGAAUAUGUGGUGCCUUAUUUGUGUUAACUGUAGUAUAUGACUUGUAAGUUAAAUAUAUGUAUAAGUAUAUUAUGGGUUUGCAAUCAGACAGCAACCCAGACAAACAACGUUUAUAAAUAUAUAUUUAACAGUUUUUGUUCUUUAUUUUGAAUGUUUGUGUACAUGACUGUGUAUAGUAUUUUCUAUAAUAAAUAAUUUCAAGACAUGCAUAUAGUGUGGCUAAUGUCUGAAAUGCUACCAACGC